UUUACCCUUACUUAAACAUCAGUUUGAAUGCUUUACUUUUUAAUUCAAAAAUUAAAAAAAUAUAAUUUAAUCACGUUUUUAAUGCCACGCAAUAAAAAACUACACUGCCAACUUAGAACAUGUCGAUUUUUUUAUAUCUCUUAAACCUAUUUGAAAACUUUUUCUAUAUAGGUUAAACGAUAUAACCAAUAUAGAUUAUUCAAUUCUGAUUUACCCUAGAUCUCCUUUCGGCUUCACUUUCUCUAUUAUUCAAUUCUUCUCCUUCGUUCUCAUUUUCGUUUUCGCGCUACACAUCCUUUCUCUUAUAUGUUUUUUGUCAUUGUUCUCGUUCACUAUUUGCUAUCGUCAUGGUGGUUGAGUGAAGUUAUUGUUCAUCGUUGCUUAUUGCCAUUGUUGGUUCAAGCUCUUGUUGCUGUGGUGGCGGGUCAACCUUUAAUUGUCAUUAUUGGUUGAAGUUAUCGCCGUGGUGGGUGGGUGAAGCUCUUGUCUAUUAUUAAUGAAGCCCUCGCCUGGUUGGUCCUCUAAUGUUUUGUCUUGGUGGGUUUGUAAGUUGUAGUGCGUGGUGUGCGUUUGGCCCUUCUCUAGCGGUGUGUUAUGGUGUUUGACCGUUGUCGCGUGAUGUGUUGGGUGUUCCAACUAUAGAUACUACCAUAACUGCUUGGUUAACUUGACAGGGCACCAUUUCCUUUGCCCAUAAGUUGAUCUUGGAAUUUCAGCUCCCGGACAAAAAAAGGUUGUUGAAGCCUAAUAUAUGGUUUCUACCUCCAUGGUAGUGGGGGUGCCACCAAGUGGAUGACUGCCAGAAUUGGAAACCAAAGUGAUAAAAUGUCAAAUAUAUCAAAGGCUAUAAGAGCAGAGGUCAAGUUCUCCUGAUGUCCAUCAUUGUUACUGAUGUAUCCAAGGUCCAAAUAUGCAAACUCUUUGUUGAUGAAACAGUCAAAUACUUUGGAAGUCGCGUGUCAGUAGAAGAAGCUACUCACAUUAUAGUGCUCAUCAUACUUCGAUUACUGUAGCAAGACAUUUGCUGAAAUUGCACCACACCAAGAUGAUGUCAUCGCAGCAGAAACCAGAAAAGAUGUGGCAACACCGAUGACCAUUGAAGAAAGGAACCGAGAAGGGGAAGACAAAAACAACACAUCCACAAUGUGCUAUAAUCCCACAGCAAAAUAAAUGGCCCGACUACAGAAGUGGCUGCUGUACCUGCAGCACAAGAGGAUAUACGCCGGGUCUUUGAUCUGAAUAAAACGCCUCAACCAAAACAACCUUAAAGAAGAAAGCACCGGCCCAAGGUCAUAAAAGAAGGCCAACCAAAAAGAACAAUCAAGAAAGCCGCUGCAGAGACUGUUCAAUCUAAAGAAAACCAAGCUGACAAGAGGAAGGCGAGGAAAGGAUUGAACACAACUUCUCCACAAACAGAAGUGACAGGAGAAUGGACAUCGGGGCCUAAAUCAACCGUAAAGACAUGUAAAAGGUCCUUGAGUUUUGGGAGCAAAGAGCAAGCAAUAGACGAUCCUGGACGCAGAGAAAAUAUGCUCUUUGCCAAUGCCAGCAGCUCAAGGAAUUGGGUGGCUGAUCAUAAUGGACUUCAAGAGUGUCCAAAUAACUCCAUUGGCAGAGACGGUUGGAGCACAGGAUGUGGAUUACAAGCUGUCGGUUCUAAGAGAAAAACAACCUGGUAUUGAACAGGAAGAUAAUACCAGCAUUAAUCUGUUAGGAUCACAAUAUAGUGACAUGAGUUUCCAAAUGUUCAGAAGAAAAGGAGAAGCGUCAAGGGAGAAUUUUAGAGGCGCCACAUAAAUCUUCUGUGACUGCCACCAAAGAUUUCCAACCGGCAACAUUCUUACAAGAUGCCAGAUCACAUUCUUAUAUGUCAAGUCCCAAGUGCUAAGCUUCUGGUUCAGAUUAUACUGCAGCUGGAGUCCCAGUCUUCAGCUACAGAAAGAGGUAUUCAGGACAAACAUCAACCCCUUGAGUACACGUUAUCCUUAGGGCAGAAGAGGCCGACCAAAAGAAGAUGAAGAGCUUCUACAAGAACUGAUGUUGGUCUAGCACAUACUGCAAAGCAAAUGUGUAGCUCUGACAGACGAACAUUUGGUGAUGCAGAAGGGCCACAGACAUGCAUUGAUGCUUUAGUUGCAGAUUUGGGAGCAUCACUCACAAAAAAGAAACGAACAGGAAAGAGAAGUCCUGUCAGUUAUGCAUCCUCCCUUUUUUUGUUUGCAUUAUCCAGCCAACAUUACGAAUAGUGACCAAAUUUAUCACAAUUGUAACACUGAAUUAUUCUCUUAUCAACAUUCUUCUUGCCAUA
Molecule: long non-coding RNA, 2308 nt
Organism: Vigna angularis (adzuki bean)
Lineage: Eukaryota; Viridiplantae; Streptophyta; Magnoliopsida; Fabales; Fabaceae
Exons: 3
Source: RefSeq, a predicted model, not a curated record